CAGGCCGCUGACUCAUCUCCGAUUCAGAACGCUGCUCACCACCAUGGUCUCCGAAAUUCCGAUGAGAGUCGACCUCUCCUCUCUGAACUCACUUCUGGUCGAGCACUAGUCCCCUCAGCCCACUCUCGAUCUCGUCGUUGCUGCUGCGUUCCUCCCGGCGGCAGGUGAAGGCCCGUCGAUCCUCUGCUGUUGUCGGAGUUCGAUGGGGCAGUAAGUGUUUGCCGUCGCCAUCGUCGUCUCAGCUUCGACCGAACGGAGCAACCGCCCUUCUAAAAGCUAAGUCUUUGCUCUAUUUUCCUCUUCUUCUUUGUAUAAGUCUUUAUAUACACAAUGGUGUGUGGUUUGAGGUUAAAGGGGUCUCUUUUGUG
This 368-nucleotide long non-coding RNA is filed under the name Salvia miltiorrhiza (redroot sage). Its description in RNAcentral is "long non-coding RNA (SMIL_LNC003221)". The record is from RNAcentral. Lineage: Eukaryota; Viridiplantae; Streptophyta; Magnoliopsida; Lamiales; Lamiaceae.